AAAAUUAGAGUGUUCAAAGCAGGCAGAUCCAAUUUUCUGCCACCGAAUACAUUAGCAUGGGAUAAUGGAAUAGGACCCUGUCCUCCUAUUUUCAGUUGGUUUUGGCAGCGCGAGGACUAGGGUAAUGAUUAAUAGGGAUAGUUGGGGGCAUUAAUAUUUAAUUGUCAGAGGUGAAAUUCUUGGAUUUAUGAAAGAUUAACUUCUGCGAAAGCAUCUGCCAAGGAUGUUUUCAUUAAUCAAGAACGAAAGUUAGGGGAUCGAAGACGAUCAGAUACCGUCGUAGUCUUAACCAUAAACGAUGCCGACCAGCGAUUAGGAGACGUUGAAUACAAAACACCACCAUCGGCGCGGUCGUCCCUGGCUCGUCGUCUCACGACGGCGGGCGGGGGCGGUUUAGCCCGAUGGCACCGGUGAA
Molecule: ribosomal RNA, 415 nt
Filed under: Acanthamoeba sp.
Lineage: Eukaryota; Discosea; Longamoebia; Acanthamoebidae
Description: SSU rRNA
Rfam family: Eukaryotic small subunit ribosomal RNA
Source: RNAcentral